Molecule: ribosomal RNA, 449 nt
Filed under: uncultured bacterium
Lineage: Bacteria
Description: partial 16S ribosomal RNA
Rfam family: Bacterial small subunit ribosomal RNA
Source: RNAcentral
AACGAACGCUGGCGGCAUGCCUAACACAUGCAAGUCGAACGAGAUCUUCGGGUCUAGUGGCGCACGGGUGCGUAACGCGUGGGAAUCUGCCCUUUGGUUCGGAAUAACAGUUGGAAACGACUGCUAAUACCGGAUGAUGACGAAAGUCCCAAGAUUUAUCGCCAGAGGAUGAGCCCGCGUAGGAUUAGCUAGUUGGUGUGGUAAAGGCGCACCAAGGCGACGAUCCUUAGCUGGUCUGAGAGGAUGAUCAGCCACACGGGGACUGAGAAACGGCCCAGAAUCCUACGGGAGGCAGAAGUGGGGAAUAUUGGACAGUGGGCGAAGGCCUGAUCCAGCAAUGCCGCGUGAGUGAUGAAGGCCUUAGGGUUGUAAAGCUCUUUCACCCGGGAUGAUAAUGACAGUACCGGGAGAAUAAGCUCCGGCUAACUCCGUGCCAGCAGCCGCCGUAA